UACGUAGGUGGCAAGCGUUGUCCGGAUUUAUUGGGUUUAAAGGGUGCGUAGGCGGUCCUUUAAGUCAGUGCUGAAAUACUCUAGCUUAACUAGAGGGGUGGCAUUGAUACUGGAGGACUUGAGUGAAGUCGAGGUAGGCGGAAUUGACGGUGUAGCGGUGAAAUGCUUAGAUAUCGUCAAGAACACCGAUAGUGAAGACAGCUUACUAGGCUUAGAUUGACGCUGAGGCACGAAAGUGUGGGGAUCAAACAGG
Molecule: ribosomal RNA, 253 nt
Filed under: uncultured bacterium
Lineage: Bacteria
Description: partial 16S ribosomal RNA
Rfam family: Bacterial small subunit ribosomal RNA
Source: RNAcentral